RNAcentral lists this long non-coding RNA (435 nucleotides) under Nicotiana benthamiana. RNAcentral describes it as "long non-coding RNA (NBEN_LNC032292)". Lineage: Eukaryota; Viridiplantae; Streptophyta; Magnoliopsida; Solanales; Solanaceae. The record is from RNAcentral.
GAUGCCAUUUGCAUGAUCCAAGGCCUUCCCUGCAAAAGGCUGUUGGAAGUCUCGUUCUCGAUCACGGAGCAAAUUACUUCUGUCUUAAGAUCUGCAAUCUGGCACUUGAGGCGAAUCUUGCCCAUAGCUUUCUGAGACUCAGCGUUGUACCCUGGGUCUUAAUGCUGUUCAGCUUCCUGGUGGAUAAGAACUGCAAUCUGGCACUUGAGGCGAAUCUUGCCCAUAGCUUUCUGAGACUCAGCGUUGUACCCUAGGUCUUAAUGCUGUUCAGCUUCCUGGUGGGAAUCCCGAGCUUCCUUACCGUUUUUAGGGGUAUAACAUUUAUAGCUGACCCCGGAUCUACUUGCACUUGUCGGAGUUUUACUUCACCAAUAUAUCCUGAAAGGUACAGUGGACGAUUAUGGUGAAGGUCCCCUAGCAACAAAAAAGUCUUCU